AGAGUUUGAUCCUGGCUCAGGAUGAACGCUAGCUACAGGCUUAACACAUGCAAGUCGAGGGGCAGCGGGGAUCUAGCUUGCUAGAUUGCCGGCGACCGGCGCACGGGUGAGUAACGCGUAUCCAACCUUCCCCUUAGUAGGGCAUAGCCCGUAGAAAUGCGGAUUAAUACCCUAUGUUAUUCGUCGAUGACAUCUGAAGUGAAUCAAAGGUUUACCGCUAAGGGAUGGGGAUGCGUCCGAUUAGGCAGCAGGCGGGGUAACGGCCCACCUGGCCGACGAUCGGUAGGGGUUCUGAGAGGAAGGUCCCCCACAUUGGAACUGAGACACGGUCCAAACUCCUACGGGAGGCAGCAGUGAGGAAUAUUGGUCAAUGGGCGAGAGCCUGAACCAGCCAAGUAGCGUGCAGGAUGACGGCCCUAUGGGUUGUAAACUGCUUUUAUGCGGGGAUAAAGUCACCCACGUGUGGGUGUUUGUAGGUACCGCAUGAAUAAGGACCGGCUAAUUCCGUGCCAGCCGCCGC
RNAcentral lists this ribosomal RNA (520 nucleotides) under uncultured bacterium. Its description in RNAcentral is "bacterial SSU rRNA". It matches the Rfam family "Bacterial small subunit ribosomal RNA", at positions 8 to 518 of the family's 1533-position model. The record is from RNAcentral.